GACAUAACCUUACCAGCAUCAGCCUAGGCUGUAGGCUAUGUCUUACUGUGCAUUUGAAUGUUUGCUGUGUGUUUAUCCAAGGAGUUUGUUAUGAUGACAAUACAUGAAGGUCCAAGCGAAACUUCGCAUCUCUUCUUCACCUCAAUGAUCAGGUUGGCACGGAGUUUGUUAUUGUGAUAAUUAUCAUGUGUUAACACAUGAUGGCUGAAACUUCGCGUCUUCUCCUCACUCCAAGGAACAGUUUGCCUCGAUGAUCAACAGAAAGCAGUCUUAUUAUGUGAAGUCUCGAGAGUUCAAGAUGAAUGCUCUAUCUUUGAAGCACCGUGGUGUAUUCCUUUCGGAUCAUCUCUAAUGUCCUGUACUUUCAUGCAAGUGAAAUCAAGUGAAAAGUGAAGUGGUUUCAGAAGCAUCGCAAGUGAAAUCAAGUGAAAAGUGAAGUGGUUUCAGAAGCAUCUUGAUUGACUCUCUUGUGACAUUAGAGACCUUCUAUAAAAUAUCUGUGCACUUUAAUGUGCUAUCAAAGGUCAAAACUGCUGUAAUGCUAAUAGUGCUCAGUAAAAUAUAAGCUUCUA
This is a long non-coding RNA of Frankliniella occidentalis (western flower thrips), 572 nucleotides long. RefSeq lists it as uncharacterized. The record is from RefSeq and is a predicted model, not a curated record. The transcript is spliced from 5 exons. NCBI's taxonomy places the organism in Eukaryota, Metazoa, Arthropoda, Insecta, Thysanoptera, Thripidae.